UACAGAGGGUGCGAGCGUUAAUCGGAAUUACUGGGCGUAAAGCGUGCGUAGACGGUUGUUUAAGUCGGAUGUGAAAGCCCUGGGCUCAACCUGGGAACGGCAUUGGAAACUGGCUUACUAGAGUGCGGUAGAGGGGUGUGGAAUUCCCGGUGUAGCAGUGAAAUGCGUAGAUAUCGGGAGGAACAUCUGUGGCGAAGGCGACACCCUGGACCAGCACUGACACUGAGGCACGAAAGCGUGGGGAGCAAACAGG
RNAcentral lists this ribosomal RNA (253 nucleotides) under uncultured bacterium. Its description in RNAcentral is "partial 16S ribosomal RNA". It matches the Rfam family "Bacterial small subunit ribosomal RNA", at positions 524 to 776 of the family's 1533-position model. The record is from RNAcentral.